This 468-nucleotide ribosomal RNA is filed under the name uncultured bacterium. RNAcentral's name for it is "bacterial SSU rRNA". It matches the Rfam family "Bacterial small subunit ribosomal RNA", at positions 355 to 825 of the family's 1533-position model. The record is from RNAcentral.
UGAGGAAUAUUGGUCAAUGGGCGCAAGCCUGAACCAGCCAUGCCGCGUGCAGGAAGACGGUCCUAUGGAUUGUAAACUGCUUUUUAUUUGGGAAUAAACCUCCUUACGUGUAGGGAGCUGAAGGUACCAAAUGAAUAAGCACCGGCUAACUCCGUGCCAGCAGCCGCGGUAAUACGGAGGGUGCAAGCGUUAUCCGGAAUCAUUGGGUUUAAAGGGUCCGCAGGCGGAUUUAUAAGUCAGUGGUGAAAGCCUACAGCUUAACUGUAGAACUGCCAUUGAAACUGUAAGUCUUGAAUUCGGUCGAAGUGGGCGGAAUAUGACAUGUAGCGGUGAAAUGCUUAGAUAUGUCAUAGAACACCGAUAGCGAAGGCAGCUCACUAGGCCUGGAUUGACGCUCAGGGACGAAAGCGUGGGGAGCAAACAGGAUUAGAUACCCCCGUAGUCCCUGAGCGGGCUGGCAAGGCGCAU